UACGGAGACUACGAGCGUUACUCGGAUUCACUGGGCGUAAAGGGAGCGCAGGCGGAAUGGUGUGUUAGGUGUGAAAUCUCGGGGCUUAACUCCGAAAUUGCGCCUAAAACUAUCAAUCUAGAGUCUUGGAGAGGUAAGCGGAAUUUCCAGUGUAGCGGUAAAAUGCGUAGAUAUUGGAAGGAACACCGAUGGCGAAGGCAGCUUACUGGACAAGAACUGACGCUCAUGCUCGAAAGCGUGGGGAGCGAAAGGG
This 253-nucleotide ribosomal RNA is filed under the name uncultured bacterium. Its description in RNAcentral is "partial 16S ribosomal RNA". It matches the Rfam family "Bacterial small subunit ribosomal RNA", at positions 524 to 776 of the family's 1533-position model. The record is from RNAcentral.